This 336-nucleotide unclassified non-coding RNA is filed under the name soil metagenome. RNAcentral describes it as "partial contains 5.8S ribosomal RNA, internal transcribed spacer 2, and large subunit ribosomal RNA". The stretch from base 1 to 120 matches the Rfam family "5.8S ribosomal RNA", at positions 35 to 154 of the family's 154-position model. The record is from RNAcentral.
GAUGAAGAACGUAGCGAAAUGCGGUAAGUAAUGUGAAUUGCAGAAUUCCGUGAAUCAUCGAAUCUUUGAACGCACAUUGCGCCCCCUGGUAUUCCGGGGGGCAUGCCUGUCCGAGCGUCAUUGCAACCUUCAAGCGCGGCUUGUGUGUUGGGUCUCGUCCCCCGUGGACGGGCCCGAAAGGCAGUGGCGGCGUCCCGACAUGGUGCCCGAGCGUAUGGGAAUCCUCUUCCGCUCGAAUCGGCCCAUGCGGCGCUGGUCGUAACCAAAUUUUUUACCGGUUGACCUCGGAUCAGGUAGGGAUACCCGCUGAACUUAAGCAUAUCAAUAAGCGGAGGA